This 253-nucleotide ribosomal RNA is filed under the name uncultured bacterium. Its description in RNAcentral is "partial 16S ribosomal RNA". It matches the Rfam family "Bacterial small subunit ribosomal RNA", at positions 524 to 776 of the family's 1533-position model. The record is from RNAcentral.
UACAGAGGGGGCUAGCGUUGUUCGGAGUUACUGGGCGUAACGCGUGCGUAGGCGGUGUCUUAAGUUUGUUGUGAAAUCUCCCGGCUUAACCGGGGGGGUGCGGCGAAUACUGAGAUGCUGGAGUGCGGGAGAGGUAAGCGGAAUUCCAGGUGUAGCGGUGAAAUGCGUAGAUAUCUGGAGGAACACCGGUGGCGAAGGCGGCAUCCUGGACCGGCAUUGACGCUGAGGCGCGAAAGCCAGGGGAGCAAACGGG